CCAAGAGAAGGUUUGUAGAGAAGAGAAACCAAGAUAUGAUAAUGGGCUUGGUAGAAAAGGCUCCUCGGUGACUUCCCAACCAUCUGAAUCAUACGAGAAAGAAGAAGCCAAAAUAAAAGCAAUGACACUAGAGUCAAGAGAAAAAUUAAAGCAAAACUCUUAUUAUGAUAACUCUAGUUCAUUUCCGGGUGAAGAUUCUUUGGAGGAGGCAAUUUUGGGAUUAGGGGUUAGACCUUGUUCAAACAACUUCCUAACAUUAUUCCUAAAGGAUGCAAUGAGAAUCAAUCCACCUAGACAAGUGAUGGAUUGUGGAGAG
RNAcentral lists this long non-coding RNA (316 nucleotides) under Capsicum annuum. RNAcentral's name for it is "long non-coding RNA (CANN_LNC012536)". Lineage: Eukaryota; Viridiplantae; Streptophyta; Magnoliopsida; Solanales; Solanaceae. The record is from RNAcentral.